RNAcentral lists this ribosomal RNA (893 nucleotides) under Klebsiella michiganensis. Its description in RNAcentral is "partial 16S ribosomal RNA". It matches the Rfam family "Bacterial small subunit ribosomal RNA", at positions 57 to 966 of the family's 1533-position model. Lineage: Bacteria; Pseudomonadati; Pseudomonadota; Gammaproteobacteria; Enterobacterales; Enterobacteriaceae. The record is from RNAcentral.
GCAGUCGAGCGGUAGCACGGGGAGCUUGCUCCUGGGUGACGAGGGGCGGACGGGUGAGUAAUGUCUGGGGAUCUGCCUGAUGGGGGGGGAUAACUACUGGGGACCUAGCUAAUACCGCAUAACGUCGCAAGACCAAAGAGGGGGACCUUCGGGCCUCUUGCCAUCAGAUGAACCCAGAUGGGAUUAGCUAGUGGGGGGGGGAAUGGCUCACCUAGGCGACGAUCCCUAGCUGGUCAGAGAGGAUGACCAGCCACUCUGGAACUGACACACGGCACACACUCCUACGGGAGGCAGGAGGGGGAAAUAUUGCACAGUGGGCGCCAGCCUGAUGCAUGCCUGCCGCGUGUAUAAAGAAUGCCUUCGGUUUGUAAAGUUCUUUCAGCGAGGAGGAAGGUAUUAAGGUUAAUAACCUUAGUGAUUGACGUUACUCACAAAAAAACCACCGGCUAACUCCGUGCCAGCACCCGCGUAAAUACGGAGGGUGCGAGCGUUAAUCGUAAUUACUGGGCGUAAAGCGCACGCAGGCGGUUUGUUAAGUCGGAUGUGAAAUCCCCGGGCUCAACCUGCUAACUGCAUUCCAAACUGGCUAGCUUGAGUCUUGUAGAGGGGGGUAUAAUUCCAGGUGUAGCGGAGAAAUGCGUAUAGAUCUGGAGGAAUACCGGUGGCGAAGGCGCCCCCCUGGACAAAGACUGACGCUCAGGUGAGAAAGCGUGGGGAGCAACAGGAAUAGAUACCCUGUAGUCCCGCCGUAACGAUGUCUACUUGUGGUGCGUCCUUGAGGUUUGCUGCGCAACUACGCAUAAGUCGACCGCUGGGGAGACGCCGCAAGAUAAAACUCGAUGAUUGACGGCGCCCGACAGCGAGAGCAUGUGAUUAAUUCGAUGCACGCGAAC